UUGAGAAAUACCGAAAAAUAUGAGGCAAGGCCCCUGCCUUCAAAGAGCUUGCAAGUUUUUGGGGGAGACUUAGGCACAAAUUAACCAACAUCUGUUGAGCACUUGCUGCUUGCCAGGACCCUGCCCUUCCCCUCGUGUCUUCCUCCCUUCCAGGACUCACCCCCUCACUUACCCUCCCCCUCACUUACCCUCCCCCUCAAUUCUCACAGCAACCCUGGGAGGUAGGCCUUAUGGUUUCUGUUUUGCAAAUGAAGAACCUGAGAUUGAAGAAGAGUAGAGAUUGGAGGAUCAGAUCCUGAGAGGUCCCAUGUGCUUUCCAAUAACAGUUCAGUAUAUUAGAAGACAGUGUGGCAUCCACGGCCAAGUACUACUAGUUGAUAGACUGGAUGCUGCUAUGGUAAUCUGCCUCAGGAAAAUGCCGGACUGUUGUUUGCAAGCUGGUUAAGUGAGCAAAUCUUGGGAAGAUUUCAAGUUUUUAUCUUCAGGAAACUCCCAAGCAUUCUGGAAGCUCUGCAUGUGAGUAAGAACCACUGCUGUUGCUGUUGCUGUAGCUGCCUGAAUCUAUGGCAAAAAGCCAGGAAAAAAAAAUUGCUUCACACCAUGUGCACCGACUCCCCUGGAGCUGGCACCACCAGGGCGUC
Molecule: long non-coding RNA, 641 nt
Filed under: Homo sapiens (human)
Lineage: Eukaryota; Metazoa; Chordata; Mammalia; Primates; Hominidae
Description: non-protein coding SLC16A1-AS1:13
Source: RNAcentral